GAACCCGCAAAAUGGCCCCGUAACUUAGGGAGAAGGGGUGCCUGCGAGAGCAGGCCGCAGAGAAUAGGCUCAAGCAACUGUUUAGCAAAAACACAGGUCUAUGCGAAACCGAAAGGUGAGGUAUAUGGGCUGACGCCUGCCCGGUGCUGGAAGGUUAAGAGGAGAGGUUAGACGCAAGUCGAAGCUUUGAAUUUAAGCCCCAGUAAACGGCGGCCGUAACAAUAACGGUCCUAAGGUAGCGAAAUUCCUUGUCGGGUAAGUUCCGACCCGCACGAAAGGCGUAAUGAUUUGAGCGCUGUCUCGGCAAUACAUCCGGUGAAAUUGAAGUGCCAGUGAAGAUGCUGGCUACCCGCGCCAGGACGGAAAGACCCCGUGGAGCUUUACUCCAGUUUGGCACUGGGGUCCGGUGUUGCAUGUACAGGAUAGGUGGGAGGCUGAGAGAUAGUGACGUCAGUUGCUAUGGAGCCGCUGUUGGGAUACCACCCUUGUGAUAUUGGGCUUCUAACCAGCCGCCGUGAACCGGCGGUGGGACAAUGCCAGGCGGGGAGUUUGACUGGGGCGGUCGCCUCCGAAAGGGUAUCGGAGGCGCCCAAAGGUUCCCUCAGAAUGGACGGAAACCAUUCGAAGAGUGCAAAGGCAGAAGGGAGCUUGACUGCGACACCGACGGGUGGAGCAGGUACGAAAGUAGGGCUUAGUGAUCCGGUGGUAUUAAGUGGGAAUGCCAUCGCUCAACGGAUAAAAGCUACCCUGGGAUAACAGGCUUAUCACUCCCAAGAGUUCACAUCGACGGAGUGGUUUGGCACCUCGAUGUCGGCUCAUCGCAUCCUGGGGCUGUAGUAGGUCCCAAGGGUUGGGCUGUUCGCCCAUUAAAGCGGUACGCGAGCUGGGUUCAGAACGUCGUGAGACAGUUCGGUCCCUAUCCGGCGUGGGCGUAGGAUAUCUGAGAGGAGCUGUCCUUAGUACGAGAGGACCGGGAUGGACGGACCGCUGGUGGACCGGUUGGCUUGCCAAAGCCAUGGCCGGGUAGCCAAGUCCGGAAGGGAUAAACGCUGAAGGCAUCUAAGCGUGAAGCCCCCCUCAAGAUGAGAUAUCCCAUUCUUUAAGAAGUAAACCCCCUUGAAGACGACGAGGUAGAUAGGGCAGAGGUGGAAGUGUGGUAACACAUGGAGCUGACUGUUACUAAUCGGGUGAGGGCUUGACCA
This 1202-nucleotide ribosomal RNA is filed under the name metagenome. RNAcentral's name for it is "bacterial LSU rRNA". It matches the Rfam family "Bacterial large subunit ribosomal RNA", at positions 1710 to 2925 of the family's 2925-position model. The record is from RNAcentral.